RNAcentral lists this transfer RNA (68 nucleotides) under Marmota monax (woodchuck). Its description in RNAcentral is "tRNA.Undet". Lineage: Eukaryota; Metazoa; Chordata; Mammalia; Rodentia; Sciuridae. The record is from RNAcentral.
GAGGUAGCUCAAUGGUAGAGCUGUUGGCUAGCAUGAACAAGGCCUUGGGUUCAAUCCCCAGUACCACA